This 333-nucleotide long non-coding RNA is filed under the name Mytilus galloprovincialis (Mediterranean mussel). The record is from RNAcentral. Lineage: Eukaryota; Metazoa; Mollusca; Bivalvia; Mytilida; Mytilidae.
GUUGGCACGAAACGAUGGAAAAAAGUCAUUGUUUGCUGUUAUAUAUCAUAUUUGUUUUUUUGUUUUUAUUUGAUCAUAUCUCAAGCCCUGGAGUUUGGUAUGAAUUGUUUCAUUUUUUUGUCAUGUUGGGGACUUACUCAGCUUACUCAUAUACUGUAUAGAUUUUGCUCACUGUUGACGACCGUUUUGAUCUUUAGUUGCUUAAACAUCCUUGCUAUUUGGUCUCUGCUUGAUAAAUGUCAAAUGCAAUCAUAUAUCUUAAUUUAACGGACAUGUGUUAAACAUGUACUCACUAUUAUCCUAAUAGUUUCUGAUGAUAUCAAUAAAAUGUCA